AUUGAACGCUGGCGGCAUGCUUUACACAUGCAAGUCGGACGGCAGCACAGAGAAGCUUGCUUCUUGGGUGGCGAGUGGCGAACGGGUGAGUAACAUAUCGGAACGUACCGGGCAGUGGGGGAUAACUAAUCGAAAGAUUAGCUAAUACCGCAUAUCUUCUGAGGAAGAAAGCAGGGGACCAUUUGGCCUUGCGCUGUUUGAGCGGCCGAUAUCUGAUUAGCUAGUUGGUGGGGUAAAGGCCUACCAAGGCGACGAUCAGUAGCGGGUCUGAGAGGAUGAUCCGCCACACUGGGACUGAGACACGGCCCAGACUCCUACGGGAGGCAGCAGUGGGGAAUUUUGGACAAUGGGCGCAAGCCUGAUCCAGCCAUGCCGCGUGUCUGAAGAAGGCCUUCGGGUUGUAAAGGACUUUUGUCAGGGAAGAAAAGGGCGGGGUUAAUACCCCUGUCUGAUGACGGCACCUGAAGAAUAAGCACCGGCUAACUACGUGCCAGCAGCCGCGGUAAUACGUAGGGUGCGAGCGUUAAUCGGAAUUACUGGGCGUAAAGCGGGCGCAGACGGUUACUUAAGCAGGAUGUGAAAUCCCCGGGCUCAACCUGGGAACUGCGUUCUGAACUGGGUGACUAGAGUGUGUCAGAGGGAGGUAGAAUUCCACGUGUAGCAGUGAAAUGCGUAGAGAUGUGGCGGAAUACCGAUGGCGAAGGCAGCCUCCUGGGAUAACACUGACGUUCAUGCCCGAAAGCGUGGGUAGCAAACAGG
This 759-nucleotide ribosomal RNA is filed under the name uncultured Neisseria sp. Its description in RNAcentral is "bacterial SSU rRNA". It matches the Rfam family "Bacterial small subunit ribosomal RNA", at positions 28 to 776 of the family's 1533-position model. The record is from RNAcentral. Lineage: Bacteria; Pseudomonadati; Pseudomonadota; Betaproteobacteria; Neisseriales; Neisseriaceae.